This 538-nucleotide ribosomal RNA is filed under the name Hansenula anomala. RNAcentral describes it as "eukaryotic LSU rRNA". It matches the Rfam family "Eukaryotic large subunit ribosomal RNA", at positions 103 to 654 of the family's 3401-position model. The record is from RNAcentral. Lineage: Eukaryota; Fungi; Ascomycota; Saccharomycetes; Phaffomycetales; Wickerhamomycetaceae.
AAAAGCUCAAAUUUGAAAUCUAGCACCUUCGGUGUUCGAGUUGUAAUUUGAAGAUGGUAACCUUGGGUUUGGCUCUUGUCUAUGUUCCUUGGAACAGGACGUCAUAGAGGGUGAGAAUCCCGUCUGAUGAGAUGCCCAUUCCUAUGUAAGGUGCUAUCGAAGAGUCGAGUUGUUUGGGAAUGCAGCUCUAAGUGGGUGGUAAAUUCCAUCUAAAGCUAAAUAUUGGCGAGAGACCGAUAGCGAACAAGUACAGUGAUGGAAAGAUGAAAAGAACUUUGAAAAGAGAGUGAAAAAGUACGUGAAAUUGUUGAAAGGGAAGGGCAUUAGAUCAGACUUGGUGUUUUACGAUUAUCUUCUCUUCUUGAGUUGUGCACUCGUAUUUCACUGGGCCAGCAUCGAUUCGGAUGGCAAGAUAAUGGCAGUUGAAUGUGGCUUCACUUCGGUGGAGUGUUAUAGCUUCUGCUGAUAUUGCCUGUCUGGAUCGAGGGCUGCGUCUUUUGACUAGGAUGCUGGCGUAAUGAUCUAAUGCCGCCCGUUG